This 459-nucleotide ribosomal RNA is filed under the name uncultured bacterium. RNAcentral's name for it is "partial 16S ribosomal RNA". It matches the Rfam family "Bacterial small subunit ribosomal RNA", at positions 338 to 795 of the family's 1533-position model. The record is from RNAcentral.
CCUACGGGUGGCAGCAGUGAGGAAUAUUGGUCAUUGGGCGAGAGCCUGAACCAGCCAAGUCGCGUGAGGGAGGAAGGAACUAUGUUUGGUAAACUUCUUUUAUAUGGGAAUAAAGGGAGGAACGUGUUCCUGUAUGUGUGUACCACAAGAAUAAGCAUCGGCUAACUCCGUGCCAGCAGCCGCGGUAAUACGGAGGAUGCGAGCGUUAUCCGGAUUUAUUGGGUUAAAAGGGUGCGUAGGCGGACUGCCAAGUCAGCGGUAAAAUCGCGGGGCUCAACCCCGCUCCGCCGUUGAAACGGGCGGGCUUGAGUGGGAGAGAAGUAUGCGGAAUGCGUGGUGUAGCGGUGAAAUGCAUAGAUAUCACGCAGAACACCGAUUGCGAAGGCAGCAUACCGGCGCCCAACUGACGCUGAGGCACGAAAGCGUGGGGAUCGAACAGGAUUAGAUACCCUUGUAGUC